GAUGAACGCUGGCGGCGUGCCUAAUACAUGCAAGUCGAGCGAACAGAUGAGGAGCUUGCUCCUCUGACGUUAGCGGCGGACGGGUGAGUAACACGUGGAUAACCUACCUAUAAGACUGGGAUAACUUCGGGAAACCGGAGCUAAUACCGGAUAAUAUAUUGAACCGCAUGGUUCAAUAGUGAAAGACGGUUUUGCUGUCACUUAUAGAUGGAUCCGCGCCGCAUUAGCUAGUUGGUAAGGUAACGGCUUACCAAGGCAACGAUGCGUAGCCGACCUGAGAGGGUGAUCGGCCACACUGGAACUGAGACACGGUCCAGACUCCUACGGGAGGCAGCAGUAGGGAAUCUUCCGCAAUGGGCGAAAGCCUGACGGAGCAACGCCGCGUGAGUGAUGAAGGUCUUCGGAUCGUAAAACUCUGUUAUUAGGGAAGAACAAAUGUGUAAUUAACUAUGCACGUCUUGACGGUACCUAAUCAGAAAGCCACGGCUAACUACGUG
This 497-nucleotide ribosomal RNA is filed under the name uncultured bacterium. RNAcentral describes it as "partial 16S ribosomal RNA". It matches the Rfam family "Bacterial small subunit ribosomal RNA", at positions 28 to 507 of the family's 1533-position model. The record is from RNAcentral.